This 445-nucleotide ribosomal RNA is filed under the name uncultured bacterium. RNAcentral describes it as "partial 16S ribosomal RNA". It matches the Rfam family "Bacterial small subunit ribosomal RNA", at positions 354 to 796 of the family's 1533-position model. The record is from RNAcentral.
GUGAGGAAUAUUGGUCAAUGGGCGGGAGCCUGAACCAGCCAAGUCGCGUGAAGGAAGAAGGAUCUAUGGUUCGUAAACUUCUUUUGCAGGGGAAUAACGUGCAGGACGUGUCCUGUUUUGUAUGUACCCUGAGAAUAAGGAUCGGCUAACUCCGUGCCAGCAGCCGCGGUAAUACGGAGGAUCCGAGCGUUAUCCGGAUUUAUUGGGUUUAAAGGGUGCGUAGGUGGUUUGAUAAGUCAGCGGUGAAAGUUUGCAGCUUAACUGUAAAAAUGCCGUUGAAACUGUCGGACUUGAGUGUAAAUGAGGUAGGCGGAAUGCGUGGUGUAGCGGUGAAAUGCAUAGAUAUCACGCAGAACUCCGAUUGCGAAGGCAGCUUACUAAGCUACAACUGACACUGAAGCACGAAAGCGUGGGGAUCAAACAGGAUUAGAAACCCGAGUAGUCC